AUACGGCGAUACCACGUUGAAACAUCGGUUCUCGUACGGUCACCGAAGUUAAACAACGUAGAACCUGGUCAAUACUUAGAUGGGUGAUCGUUUGGGAAUACCA
This is a non-coding RNA of Acanthosepion pharaonis, 103 nucleotides long. The record is from the annotation of a GenBank genome assembly. Lineage: Eukaryota; Metazoa; Mollusca; Cephalopoda; Sepiida; Sepiidae.